This 275-nucleotide ribosomal RNA is filed under the name uncultured bacterium. Its description in RNAcentral is "partial 16S ribosomal RNA". It matches the Rfam family "Bacterial small subunit ribosomal RNA", at positions 523 to 796 of the family's 1533-position model. The record is from RNAcentral.
AUACGGAGGGUGCAAGCGUUAUUCGGAAUCACUGGGCGUAAAGGACGCGUAGGCGGGUUGGCAAGUCAGAUGUGAAAUCCUACAGCUUAACUGUAGAACUGCAUUUGAAACUGCUAACCUAGAGUAUGGGAGGGGGAGAUGGAAUUAGUGGUGUAGGGGUAAAAUCCGUAGAUAUCACUAGGAAUACCGAAAGCGAAGGCGAUCUCCUGGAACAUAACUGACGCUAAGGCGUGAAAGCGUGGGGAGCAAACAGGAUUAGAAACCCUUUGUAGUCC